This 77-nucleotide transfer RNA is filed under the name Bacilli bacterium. RNAcentral's name for it is "tRNA-Val". It matches the Rfam family "tRNA". Rfam says of the family: Transfer RNA (tRNA) molecules are approximately 80 nucleotides in length. Lineage: Bacteria; Bacillati; Bacillota; Bacilli. The record is from RNAcentral.
ACACCUUUAGUUCAGCUGGGAGUAACAUCUCUCUUACAAAGAGAAGGUCAUUGGUUCAAGUCCAAUAAGGUGUACCA